Molecule: ribosomal RNA, 499 nt
Filed under: uncultured bacterium
Lineage: Bacteria
Description: partial 16S ribosomal RNA
Rfam family: Bacterial small subunit ribosomal RNA
Source: RNAcentral
GACGAACGCUGGCGGCGUGCCUAAUACAUGCAAGUCGAGCGAAGUUUUUCUGGUGCUUGCACUAGAAAAACUUAGCGGCGAACGGGUGAGUAACACGUAAAGAACCUGCCUCAUAGACUGGGACAACUAUUGGAAACGAUAGCUAAUACCGGAUAACAGCAUUAACUGCAUGGUUGAUGUUUAAAAGUUGGUUUUGCUAACACUAUGAGAUGGCUUUGCGGUGCAUUAGCUAGUUGGUGGGGUAAAGGCCUACCAAGGCGACGAUGCAUAGCCGACCUGAGAGGGUGAUCGGCCACACUGGGACUGAGACACGGCCCAGACUCCUACGGGAGGCAGCAGUAGGGAAUCUUCCGCAAUGGGCGAAAGCCUGACGGAGCAACGCCGCGUGAGUGAAGAAGGAUUUCGGUUCGUAAAGCUCUGUUGUUAGGGAAGAAUGAUUGUGUAGUAACUAUACACAGUAGAGACGGUACCUAACCAGAAAGCCACGGCUAACUACGUG